RNAcentral lists this ribosomal RNA (475 nucleotides) under Pseudomonas sp. oral taxon C61. Its description in RNAcentral is "bacterial SSU rRNA". It matches the Rfam family "Bacterial small subunit ribosomal RNA", at positions 30 to 500 of the family's 1533-position model. The record is from RNAcentral. Lineage: Bacteria; Pseudomonadati; Pseudomonadota; Gammaproteobacteria; Pseudomonadales; Pseudomonadaceae.
AUUGAACGCUGCGGCAGGCCUAACACAUGCAAGUCGAGCGGUAGAGAGAAGCUUGCUUCUCUUGAGAGCGGCGGACGGGUGAGUAAUGCCUAGGAAUCUGCCUGGUAGUGGGGGAUAACGUUCGGAAACGGACGCUAAUACCGCAUACGUCCUACGGGAGAAAGCAGGGGACCUUCGGGCCUUGCGCUAUCAGAUGAGCCUAGGUCGGAUUAGCUAGUUGGUGGGGUAAUGGCUCACCAAGGCGACGAUCCGUAACUGGUCUGAGAGGAUGAUCAGUCACACUGGAACUGAGACACGGUCCAGACUCCUACGGGAGGCAGCAGUGGGGAAUAUUGGACAAUGGGCGAAAGCCUGAUCCAGCCAUGCCGCGUGUGUGAAGAAGGUCUUCGGAUUGUAAAGCACUUUAAGUUGGGAGGAAGGGUUGUAGAUUAAUAUCUGCAAUUUUGACGUUACCGACAGAAUAAGCACCGGCUAA